RNAcentral lists this long non-coding RNA (1220 nucleotides) under Mytilus galloprovincialis (Mediterranean mussel). The record is from RNAcentral. Lineage: Eukaryota; Metazoa; Mollusca; Bivalvia; Mytilida; Mytilidae.
UGCCUGUCCCGGUAUGUCAUCAGUCUGUAAAUCAGUAGUUGUCUUUUACUGUUGUAUAUCAUAUUUGUUUUUCCCAUUGUUUUGUACAUAAAUCAGGGUGUUUGUUUUCUCUUUGAAAUGCUUGUAUUUGUCAUUUUGGGCCUUUUAUAGCUAACUAUAUGGUAUGGGCUUUGCUCAUUUUUAAUGGUAGUACGGUGACCUAUAAUUGUAGGUCUGUCAUAUCUGUCUCUGGUGGAGGUUUGCUGCAUUGGCAAUCAUACCACAUUUUCUUUACUUAUAUGGAACAUAUGGUUUAUCGAGUAUUGCGAUAUACAGGUUGCAUUCAACUGUUUGAUCAUAUGCAUACAUAGUUAGGAAAACCCCUGGUUGCGCAUCGUUUUACUUGCAGACCAUGGUUCUUGAUGUUGUGUGUUGUUUAAUUUAUGGUGUUGUAUUUCCAUCAGAUCAUAAUCCCUUACUUUAUUCAUAUCAAUUUAAAUUUUUUUUUUCAUAUCUUUAUUAAGUUGAUUAUGAUUGCAGUUUUAAAUGUAACAUCAGUGUUUAAUAUAAAAUGGUCAUAGUUGAUAAAUUAAAAGGAAACAUCUCUUCUCUUACUGUAGAAGGUAUCUGUGAUAUGUUCAACGAUGUGAACAAAUACAAACAGUAAGUGUUGUGUCUGAUCGAUGAUGAUUCAAUUUCAGAUUGAGGUUAUUUGAACAGAAAGUAAUUUGACUUUGCUUAAGUAAUCAUGCGAUUUCAGGGUUAUAAACUAUCAAGGAGAAAAAAAGGAAAGUCUAUAGAUAAUUGUAGUCUCAAUAACAAGUCAAAGCUUAUCACGCGAGAAUUAUGACUACAAUGAAUGCUAUUGUGUUGUUUUGUCUGUUGUGUUUUCUUCUCUGUAGGAUUGUUUCCUACGAUAUACUAUUAUGAAGGCAAUGUAUCGCGGUAAUACUUCCAAAUGAGCUCUUUUUAAGUCGAAUUGGUUAAUUAAAAGUUGUCGAUCUACCACGAUUACAAAUUAUUAUUCAAUAGAAUGUGUACGCCUAUCCAUUUUUGAAUUCAGGGUUAUAUAGAUAUGGGGCAGGUUUUCAUGAACAUUAAAUUUCUUGAUACACAGUUUUUUUUUCGAUAAACGAACGUCAAGAUGUUCACCAAACUAACUUUCAUUCAUAUUUUAUAAAUGAAUCCAGUCCUAUGUUCAUGAUUUUUUUUCAAUUUUUGUGUGGAAACCAAAGAUACCA